CAAUAGCGUAUAUUAAAGUUGUUGCGGUUAAAAAGCUCGUAGUUGGAUUUCUGCCGAGGACGACCGGUCCGCCCUCCGGGUGAGUAUCUGGCUCGGCCUGGGCAUCUUCUUGGAGAACGUAGCUGCACUUGGCUGUGUGGUGCGGUAUUCAGGACUUUUACUUUGAGGAAAUUAGAGUGUUUCAAGCAGGCAUACGCCUUGAAUACAUUAGCAUGGAAUAAUAAGAUAGGACCUCGGUUCUAUUUUGUUGGUUUCUAGAUCUGAGGUAAUGAUUAAUAGGGAUAGUUGGGGGCAUUCGUAUUUAACUGUCAGAGGUGAAAUUCUUGGAUUUGUUAAAGACGGACCACUGCGAAAGCAUUUGCCAAGGAUGUUUUCAUUGA
Molecule: ribosomal RNA, 380 nt
Filed under: uncultured eukaryote
Lineage: Eukaryota
Description: partial 18S ribosomal RNA
Rfam family: Eukaryotic small subunit ribosomal RNA
Source: RNAcentral